UUGGAGCCUCUCACUCUUAAUUGGGAUCGUGACCUCAAACUUUCUCCUUUUUCUUCCCUGUCUUCCAUUUACAGAGCUUGCCUCAGCAGCACAGACCAAGAGUGUCCUUAUAAGGGGAGACCUCUUACCCUCAAACAUCUUUCCUUGCUGCCUGAAAUGCCACCAGACACAGAUUUAUUUGAACCACCAAGCAAAUGCCUAUGGAAGGCCUAAGAAUUGGAUCUUCCCACUUCCUUCCACAAAAUAAGACAUGAAAGGGACAAGGAGAACCCCAUAGGCAAGCAGAUGCUCCAUCAAAUAUUGUCAAUAGCUGGUGACAUAACACAGUAAGUGAUUAACAAUAAAAAAAUUGAGUAUUCAUUUUUUUUCCAAUUUAUUUAUUUUCAGAAAAACAGUAUUCAUUAUUUUUUCACCACACCCAGUGCUCCAUGCAAUCCGUGCCCUCUAUAAUACCCACCACCUGGUACCCCGCCC
RNAcentral lists this long non-coding RNA (474 nucleotides) under Mustela putorius furo (domestic ferret). RNAcentral's name for it is "lncRNA (ENSMPUG00000026744.1)". Lineage: Eukaryota; Metazoa; Chordata; Mammalia; Carnivora; Mustelidae. The record is from RNAcentral.